Molecule: ribosomal RNA, 253 nt
Filed under: uncultured bacterium
Lineage: Bacteria
Description: partial 16S ribosomal RNA
Rfam family: Bacterial small subunit ribosomal RNA
Source: RNAcentral
UACGGGGGGGGCAAGCGUUGUUCGGAAUUACUGGGCGUAAAGGGCUCGUAGGCGGCCAACUAAGUCAUACGUGAAAUCCCUCAGCUUAACUGGGGAACUGCGUCUGAUACUGGAUGGCUUGAGUUUGGGAGAGGGAUGCGGAAUUCCAGGUGUAGCGGUGAAAUGCGUAGAUAUCUGGAGGAACACCGGUGGCGAAGGCGGCAUCCUGGACCAACACUGACACUGAGGAGCGAAAGCCAGGGGAGCAAACGGG